GUGCUCACUUUGGCAGUACAUAGACUAAAAUUAGAAUGAUACAGAGAAGAUUAGCACAGCCCCUGCUCAAGGAUGGCAUGUAAAUUUGUGAAGCGUUCCAUAUUUAG
RNAcentral lists this small nuclear RNA (107 nucleotides) under Canis lupus familiaris (dog). The record is from RNAcentral. RNAcentral also lists the same sequence under 1 other name. Lineage: Eukaryota; Metazoa; Chordata; Mammalia; Carnivora; Canidae.